CCUACGGGAGGCAGCAGUGAGGAAUAUUGGUCAAUGGGCGGGAGCCUGAACCAGCCAAGUCGCGUGAAGGAAGAAGGUACCUAGUAUUGUAAACUUCUUUUGUCGGGGAACAAAGUCGGAGACGCGUCUCCGGAUGAGUGUACCUGAAGAAAAAGCAUCGGCUAACUCCGUGCCAGCAGCCGCGGUAAUACGGAGGAUGCGAGCGUUAUCCGGAUUUAUUGGGUUUAAAGGGUGCGUAGGCGGGAGAUCAAGUCAGCGGUAAAAUGUCGGGGCUCAACCUGUGUAUGGCAGUUGAUACUUGCGAGCUGGAGUGCGCGAGAGGUAAAGGGAAUUCGUGGUGUAGCGGUGAAAUGCUUAGAUAUCAGGAAGAACAUCGAUGGCGUAAGCACUUUACUGGGGCGUAAUUGACGCUGAGGAACGAAAGCCAGGGUAGCGAAUGGGAUUAGAUACCCGUGUAGUC
Molecule: ribosomal RNA, 460 nt
Filed under: uncultured bacterium
Lineage: Bacteria
Description: partial 16S ribosomal RNA
Rfam family: Bacterial small subunit ribosomal RNA
Source: RNAcentral